RNAcentral lists this ribosomal RNA (328 nucleotides) under uncultured eukaryote. RNAcentral's name for it is "partial 18S ribosomal RNA". It matches the Rfam family "Eukaryotic small subunit ribosomal RNA", at positions 1470 to 1796 of the family's 1831-position model. The record is from RNAcentral.
CCCUUAGAUGUCCGGGGCUGCACGCGCGCUACACUGAAGGAAUCAGCGUGCUAAAACCAUUGUCGAAAGGCAUUGGUAAACCCAUUAAAAUCCUACGUGAUUGGGAUCGGGAAUUGCAAUUAUUUCCCUUGAACGAGGAAUUCCCAGUAAGUGUGGGUCAUAAGCUCGCGUUGAUUACGUCCCUGCCCUUUGUACACACCGCCCGUCGCUGCCCGGGACUGAGCCGUUUCGAGAAAAGCGGGGACUGCUGCUGUCGGGGCUUUCGGGCCUUGGCUCCGGUGGAAACCGCUUUAAUCGCAGUGGCUUGAACCGGGCAAAAGUCGUAACA